RNAcentral lists this long non-coding RNA (448 nucleotides) under Elaeis guineensis (African oil palm). RNAcentral describes it as "long non-coding RNA (EGUI_LNC067450)". The record is from RNAcentral. Lineage: Eukaryota; Viridiplantae; Streptophyta; Magnoliopsida; Arecales; Arecaceae.
CUUCCCUACCGAUUAGGUCAUCUCAUAACCCAAUCAGACUUGACCUGAUUGAAUCCAAUUCAAUCAAAUUUGAUCCAGACUUUAAUACUAAAUUAAAUUGAGCUAAUUAAUGAUCUAAUCACUAAUUAAUCCUCUAUUAAUAAUACAGUCUGAGUUUAGUAGGAUUCUUCUCUAGAGUCCCCAUUCAGUGGGACUCUUCAGUAGUCUCUGUCUAGUGGGACUCUUCAGAUUAGCCAUGUGAUCGGAGAAAAACUUUUAAUGAUACCUGAUGGUAGCACAGGUUUGAAUCUAAGUCGAUAGUAUAGAAACUAAUUUCUGUACCAAUCAGAGUAACCAUCUAGCAAUGAUACCCGACGUUCGGAUAGAUCGAAUGUAUGUAAAGCAAUACUCAAGAACCUAUUUUGAUAUAGUUACCGUAUAAUUCAUCCCUUUGACUCUUAAUGCUCGG